This 505-nucleotide ribosomal RNA is filed under the name uncultured bacterium. RNAcentral's name for it is "partial 16S ribosomal RNA". It matches the Rfam family "Bacterial small subunit ribosomal RNA", at positions 28 to 507 of the family's 1533-position model. The record is from RNAcentral.
GACGAACGCUGGCGGCGUGCCUAAUACAUGCAAGUAGAACGCACAGUUUAUACCGUAGCUUGCUACACCAUAGACUGUGAGUUGCGAACGGGUGAGUAACGCGUAGGUAACCUGCCUGGUAGCGGGGGAUAACUAUUGGAAACGAUAGCUAAUACCGCAUAAUAUUGAUUAUUGCAUGAUAAUUAAUUGAAAGGUGCAAUUGCACCACUACCAGAUGGACCUGCGUUGUAUUAGCUAGUAGGUGAGGUAACGGCUCACCUAGGCGACGAUACAUAGCCGACCUGAGAGGGUGGUCGGCCACACUGGGACUGAGACACGGCCCAGACUUCUACGGGAGGCAGCAGUAGGGAAUCUUCGGCAAUGGACGAAAGUCUUACCGAGCAACGCCGCGUGAGUGAAGAAGGUUUUCGGAUCGUAAAGCUCUGUUGUAAGAGAAGAACGGGUGUGAGAGUUGAAAGUGCACACUGUGACGGUAUCUUACCAGAAAGGGACGGCUAACUACGUG